Molecule: ribosomal RNA, 254 nt
Filed under: uncultured bacterium
Lineage: Bacteria
Description: partial 16S ribosomal RNA
Rfam family: Bacterial small subunit ribosomal RNA
Source: RNAcentral
GACGUAGGGCGCGAGCGUUGUCCGGAUUUAUUGGGCGUAAAGAGCUCGUAGGCGGCUCGUUGCGUCGGCUGUGAAAACCCGCAGCUCAACUGUGGGCUUGCAGCCGAUACGGGCGGGCUUGAGUUCGGUCAGGGGAGACUGGAAUUCCUGGUGUAGCGGUGAAAUGCGCAGAUAUCAGGAGGAACACCGGUGGCGAAGGCGGGUCUCUGGGCCGAUAUGAUCGCUGAGGAGCGAAAGCGUGGGGAGCAAACAGG